Molecule: ribosomal RNA, 459 nt
Filed under: uncultured bacterium
Lineage: Bacteria
Description: partial 16S ribosomal RNA
Rfam family: Bacterial small subunit ribosomal RNA
Source: RNAcentral
CCUACGGGUGGCAGCAGUGAGGAAUAUUGGUCAAUGGGCGGAAGCCUGAACCAGCCAAGCCGCGUGAGGGAAGAAGGUACAGCGUAUCGUAAACCGCUUUUGUCAAGGGACAAAGGCGGGGACUAGUCCCCGGAUGAGAGUACCUGACGAAAAAGCAUCGGCUAACUCCGUGCCAGCAGCCGCGGUAAUACGGAGGAUGCGAGCGUUAUCCGGAUUUAUUGGGUUUAAAGGGUGCGCAGGCGGCCUGUUAAGUCAGCGGUAAAAGUCCGGGGCUCAACCCCGGCGAGCCGUUGAAACUGGCGGGCUGGAGUUGGAGAGAAGUAGGCGGAAUGUGCGGUGUAGCGGUGAAAUGCUUAGAGAUCGCGCAGAACCCCGAUUGCGAAGGCAGCGUACCGGCUCCACACUGACGUUGAGGCACGAAAGCGUGGGUAUCGAACAGGAUUAGAUACCCUUGUAGUC